AAGCAACUAAGAACAUGAGAAAAGAUUAUGUUGAGAGAUCGAGGUUGACAAAGACAUUCUGUGACUGUUUCUGCAAAGACUUGAAGCCAUUUCUAAGUGGAAUAGAGGAGACUCUGAAGAGAAUAGAGUCGAAAGUUGAUGCCAUUUCAUGUCCAACUGAAUCAGACAAGGACAUGUAUAAAGUAAAGGUAUUGCAGUUUGUAUUUAGCAAAGAGUACCGUCUGACUUGAUGUAUUUUCUUGUAACAUACAGAGCUAUCGACCUAUUAAGCAGGAGGCAAAACUUGAAGUUUCUUCUCCGGUUAUCUACAAUGGCAUUGACUUGACGGGUAUCUAUGCAAGCAAGACUUCACCACAAAAGUACGCUAGGAAAGUUGUAGGCCAACUUUUCUCAAAGAAAGAAUUAAGUCAAAGCAUAUUCAGGAAAGUUGGCCCAACUUCACGGAAAGAGCUUUCUCCGACUCGGUGUAAUAUUGUUACAAGUAAGGCAACAAUGCACAGUGUAGUAGUUUCAUGCUAUAGUUGGUCAUUUCUGUUAUAGUACAUGCAUAGCUAUAGCUGCACUAUCCUGUCAGGUACCCGCUUAUCUACUUGGCACCCUGAGUUUGUGGUCACUUUUGUUAUGCCCGAUUCAGUGGGUAGGUCUAUCGUGAAUGAAGAUUUUCAUCCAUUAUUGGUUACAGUGAUUACGCAUAAUUCCCCUGUUAGGGCUUUUCCGCAAAACCUGAAAUUUUCUUAAAAGUUAAUGUUAGUGAAGGAAUGAAGUAACAUUGAAUUGGUAUGUGCUAGUAUGUAAAAUAAUUAAUUAAAGGAGCAUUUCAUUUUCUAUAAUACAUAUACUUAUGUCUGCAUUUUUCUAGACUGUCUUAAGAAGCUUUACUCCAAGGAGAUGCUGGAGAAGAACGAGAUGGUCAUACGAGAAAGCCUCAAUCAGAAGUGUAGGGAGGCAACAGUAGCCGUCAAGUUGAAAUCUGAGUCAGACGGACUAGCAGCAAUAGGACACAGUCUAUGCAGUUCACGGGAGGAUGAUUAGAAGUAGAGACAAGAGUAUUGCUAUACUUAGAACAUUAUUGUGUUGGAGAGUUUGAUGAAGAAGAGAAGG
This is a long non-coding RNA of Corticium candelabrum, 1101 nucleotides long. RefSeq lists it as uncharacterized. NCBI's taxonomy places the organism in Eukaryota, Metazoa, Porifera, Homoscleromorpha, Homosclerophorida, Plakinidae. The record is from RefSeq and is a predicted model, not a curated record. The transcript has 3 exons.